AUUGAACGCUGGCGGCAGGCCUAACACAUGCAAGUCGAACGAGUGGCGGACGGGUGAGUAAUGUCUGGGAACCUGGCUUAUGGAGGGGGAUAACUACUGGAACCUGUAGCUAAUACCGCGUACCAUAGGAUGAGCCCAGGUGGGAUUAGCUAGUUGGUGGGGUAAAGGCUCACCAAGGCGACGAUCCCUAGCUGGUCUGAGAGGAUGACCAGCCACACUGGAACUGAGACACGGCCCAGACUCCUACGGGAGGCAGCAGUGGGGAAUAUUGCGCAAUGGGCGAAAGCCUGACCCAGCCAUGCCGCGUGAGUGAAGAAGGCCUUCGGAUUGUAAAGUUCUUUAAGUAGGGAGGCGUUACCUACAGAAGAAGCACCGGCUAACUCCGUGCCAGCAGCCGCGGUAAUAC
Molecule: ribosomal RNA, 406 nt
Filed under: uncultured bacterium
Lineage: Bacteria
Description: partial 16S ribosomal RNA
Rfam family: Bacterial small subunit ribosomal RNA
Source: RNAcentral